ACAGACACUGCUUCCGAGUUCUCAACUCCCUUCUCCGGACUAGACCCAGUAUGCUGAUUCAGAAUUGGAUGCCGCGUUGUGAAUUGGAACGCUGUAAACCAGAACGCACUGCCUGUCGCAUUAUGGGAGAUCUCGAACUACUCGAUUCAGUCGCGCUAGCUGUUUCCCGCCAUCAAAGUCGUUCUAUUUCCUGCCAUCAGCGUCGUUUUGGAACUGCGGCCGAGUUCGGUGGCAAGUAUGCAUACAUUAUUUACUGUAAUUUUCCUGAUUAGCUUCCAGUGCAACGCCUCAAGCAUCUGCCGGCUGUUUCCAGUUGAGAAGCACUUCUGACACUGCUUGGAAGCUCCUGGUUCCUCCAACCACUCCAGAGUUGGUUGGAAAUGCUAACAUGAAGCUUUAGUGUGAUAAUUUAUUAGCUAGAGAAUGAUCUUUAGAAGAGGGUAGGUGGAUAGUUCCGAUAACGUACAGCAGUAUGAACAUUGAAUAGAAGUUAAAAAUGAGCGUAGGGCCAUUAAUGCGACAGUACAAAGUCGAACGCACACCUUUUGCCUAACCCGUACGAUGUACGCGGAGAUUUGAAGUAUGUCUUCAAGUCUACAGGCAAAAGAUGUGCGUCCGCCUUUUGCUCAUUACUGACUGCGGUUGUGGAAUAGUUCUAGCGAGGUUUCAUCACUACCUAAAGCCCCACGUUGCGAGAGCAUUUCCAGUCGAUGGUGUGUUAUAAUGCAAUUCUUCUUUACCCAACUAUUGUGUUGCUUCUCCCUUUAUCACACUAAAGCUUCAUGUUGGCAUUUCCAACCAACUCUGAAGUACAAUCAAUAUAUAGACUGUUCACUGCCUGAUGCCGAUCAAAUUUUCAGCAAUUCGACCUAUGUUAGUCAUUGCGAUGAUGCUGGGAACCCGGAACGCGCAGUAGGAAGCCCCCAAUCCCUCCGUCUCAGUCCUGCCAUCAGUAGCCUUUGUACGUCAUAGUCCUGCUGUCGGUUGUGGAGAGGGGGUCUUCCAAUCCACUCGCUAAAUAUGGCGAGUAUUCAAUCAGACUUGAUGAUGGUCAGUUAUUGCCUGAUGUAUGCAUCUGUGAUUUCCAGGGAGAACAGUCGAUCGAUUCCUUGCCGCAAGCAGGACGUCGUGAUCUUCUACCAAAACGCCGGUGGAAUGAAUUCUGGUGUUGCCGAUGAUUUAUCGAAUCGUUGCUACGAUGUAAUUGUUCUGUGCGAAACCAGAAGACUUGAAAAUGUAUCAUGAGAAGUUUUUGGAGGUCUCUGAUCACCCGAAGGUCUUUGGAAUAUUUUCUCAGUCACCUGGUAUCAUGAGAGAAUAUCUAAAAGAUGUGAUUUGCAUUGUUGGACAGUUUGAGAUCUUCAGAAUAGUACCUAAUCAACCUGAAAUCUCGAAAAAGGAUUCCAGAGGAUUUUAGGGGAAUCUUAAACACAUGAAGGUCUUUGGAAUGAUACCUGAUCAUGGGGAUAUCUGAUCACCUGAUGGUCUUCGGAAUAAUUUCUGAGCUACCUGGUAUCAUGAGAGAACAUCUGAUAAACGUGAUUUGAAUUGUUGGAUAGUUGAAGAUCUUAAGAAUAAUACCUGAUCUACCUGAAGUCUUGAAAAAAGAAAUCAAGAGGACUUCAUGGAGAUCUUAGAACACCCCAAGAUCAUUUUCUGAGCAGAGUGGUAUCAUAUGAGAGAAUAUCUGUUUGAUGUAAAAGACGCAAGCGCUUUCAUAAAAUUAUGUGAAGAUCUAUGCAUUUCCAUGAAACUCUAUAAUAUGCUCUUCUAAGAAAUCACCUAAACUUCAAUGGUACUCCGAGAAUUUUUUUAAAAUACAAGUUCAAUGAAGUUUACUGUUCUCUAUGAAGAUCUCUGAUUUUUGACGUAGGAUUACAUUUUUCGGCAACAUAUUGGUGGUGGAAUUUGAAAAAAAUCAAAAUCGGCCGAGUUACGAAAAAUGGUCAGGUUUUGACCACUUAUAACUCUGUCAAUAGCGGAUGAAUUUUAAUUCUAAACAAUCCACGAAUCUGCUAAAAUGAACACUAUCAAUUUUCAAAAGGUCACUAUUGAAAAUUAAACAAAUGUCCAACUGUUACAAUGGUGAUCAAAAUUAUCAGCGAUUGCCUACGAAAAGCGUUUUCCCUAACACAGAUUUCGAAAUCGAAUUCCAUCCGGUCUCGCUGAACGCUGCUUAUUAAAUCACCGUGUGUGGUGACGUCCGAUCGGUCGUCAUCAACAGCAACAGCAGCAGCAACAGCAGCAGUGCUGCAGCCCACAUGAGCGACCAUUCAUCAAAGAAAGAGGAAGAAGCCGCACCGCUACUGAUCGGAUUCAGUAGCUCUUCGUGCGUCGCUGUGGGCCAUCUAUGCCAAGCGCGUCACCCUCGUUCCAAACAACAUACAGCUCGCCAGCCUCAUCUCUGUUGAACACCCUAAUAGCGCAGCAUUACUGCACCAUCACGACAAAACGGUUAUUUUCAGGAACACCAAAAAUCAUUGUUGUUUGAGAGUUAAUUUUCGUUGGACGUUCGCUCGCAUUGCUGCCAGCCACAUCACCUCCCAAAGCUCUUUGAUAAUGUACCCAGCAAUCAAACGUUUGUGGUCAUAUGCGUAACAGUAUUGAAGAGGUACGUACAAAUUCUCGCAAUGACCGAAUACCAUAUGACCUUGUCAAUUAACCAGAAACACGUCGAAUUAAGGUAAGGUUUUCUCCAGAAAAAAAAGUCUAAGGGAGGGAAUUUAUAUGAUUGAUCCCGAAUAUCUCGCGAAUGGAAAAUUUCAGCAAAAAAUUCCUCCAAUCAGUUUUCGAUUUUUUUUUUUUUUUAUUAUCUAUUGAAUAAACCCAAAAUUCCGUGCGU
Long non-coding RNA from Ochlerotatus camptorhynchus, 2842 nucleotides. RefSeq lists it as uncharacterized. The transcript has 2 exons. The record is from RefSeq and is a predicted model, not a curated record. NCBI's taxonomy places the organism in Eukaryota, Metazoa, Arthropoda, Insecta, Diptera, Culicidae.